Molecule: ribosomal RNA, 490 nt
Filed under: uncultured bacterium
Lineage: Bacteria
Description: bacterial SSU rRNA
Rfam family: Bacterial small subunit ribosomal RNA
Source: RNAcentral
GAUGAACGCUAGCGGCAGGCUUAAUACAUGCAAGUCGAGGGGCAGCACGGUUAGCAAUAACUGGUGGCGACCGGCGCACGGGUGCGUAACACGUAUACAAUCUACCUUAAACAGGGGAUAGCCUUUCGAAAGAGAGAUUAAUACCCCGUAAUAAAUUGAACGGCAUCGUUUGAUUUUGAAAGCUCCGGCGGUUUGAGAUGAGUAUGCGUCUGAUUAGCUAGUUGGUGAGGUAACGGCUCACCAAGGCGACGAUCAGUAGGGGAUCUGAGAGGACUAACCCCCACACUGGUACUGAGACACGGACCAGACUCCUACGGGAGGCAGCAGUAAGGAAUAUUGGUCAAUGGAGGCAACUCUGAACCAGCCAUGCCGCGUGCAGGAUGACGGCCCUAUGGGUUGAAACUGCUUUAUACAAGAGAAAACCCUGGUACGUGUACCAGGUUGAUAGUAUUGUAAGAAUAAGCAUCGGCUAACUUCGUGCCAGCAGCCG